UACCUUCUCUUCAACUGUGUGCCAUUGG
This 28-nucleotide non-coding RNA is filed under the name Mus musculus (house mouse). The record is from RNAcentral. Lineage: Eukaryota; Metazoa; Chordata; Mammalia; Rodentia; Muridae.